AUUGAACGCUGGCGGCAGGCCUAACACAUGCAAGUCGAGCGGAUGAGUGGAGCUUGCUCCAUGAUUCAGCGGCGGACGGGUGAGUAAUGCCUAGGAAUCUGCCUGGUAGUGGGGGACAACGUUUCGAAAGGAACGCUAAUACCGCAUACGUCCUACGGGAGAAAGCAGGGGACCUUCGGGCCUUGCGCUAUCAGAUGAGCCUAGGUCGGAUUAGCUAGUAGGUGAGGUAAUGGCUCACCUAGGCGACGAUCCGUAACUGGUCUGAGAGGAUGAUCAGUCACACUGGAACUGAGACACGGUCCAGACUCCUACGGGAGGCAGCAGUGGGGAAUAUUGGGACAAUGGGCGAAAGCCUGAUCCAGCCAUGCCGCGUGUGUGAAGAAGGUCUUCGGAUUGUAAAGCACUUUAAGUUGGGAGGAAGGGUAGGUAACCUAAUACGUUGCUACUUUGACGUUACCGACAGAAUAAGCACCGGCUAACUU
This 482-nucleotide ribosomal RNA is filed under the name uncultured bacterium. RNAcentral's name for it is "bacterial SSU rRNA". It matches the Rfam family "Bacterial small subunit ribosomal RNA", at positions 30 to 503 of the family's 1533-position model. The record is from RNAcentral.